GAUGAAGAACGCAGUGAAAUGCGAUACUUGGUGUGAAUUGCAGAAUCCCGUGAACCAUCGAGUCUUUGAACGCAAGUUGCGCCCGAAGCCAUUAGGCCGAGGGCACGCCUGCCUGGGCGUCACACGUCGUUGCCCCCCCAUCUACUCCUUCGGGAUUGCGGGGGGCGGAUGAUGGCCUCCCGUGCGCCUUGUCGCGCGGUUGGCAUAAAUGCCAAGUCCUCGGCGACGCACGCCACGACAAUCGGUGGUUGCGAAACCUCGGUUGCCCGUCGUGUGCGGUCGUCGCGCAUCGAGGGCUCGAAAAAAUUGUCGGGCUCCGGCUCGGCUUUCAACGCGACCCCAGGUCAGGCGGGGUUACCCGCUGAAUUUAAGCAUAUCAAUAAGCGGAGGA
This 391-nucleotide unclassified non-coding RNA is filed under the name soil metagenome. RNAcentral's name for it is "partial contains 5.8S ribosomal RNA, internal transcribed spacer 2, and large subunit ribosomal RNA". The stretch from base 1 to 122 matches the Rfam family "5.8S ribosomal RNA", at positions 35 to 154 of the family's 154-position model. The record is from RNAcentral.